RNAcentral lists this ribosomal RNA (213 nucleotides) under uncultured bacterium. RNAcentral's name for it is "partial 16S ribosomal RNA". It matches the Rfam family "Bacterial small subunit ribosomal RNA", at positions 27 to 241 of the family's 1533-position model. The record is from RNAcentral.
GGACGAACGCUGGCGGCGUGCUUAACACAUGCAAGUCGAGCGGUAAGGCCCUUUCGGGGGUACACGAGCGGCGAACGGGUGAGUAACACGUGGGUGACCUGCCCUCAGCUCUGGGAUAAGCCUGGGAAACCGGGUCUAAUACUGGAUAUGACUCCAUGACGCAUGUUGUGGGGUGGAAAGCCUUGUGCGGUUGAGGAUGGGCCCGCGGCCUAU